AGUACGGCGGAACACGAGAAAUUCCGUCGGAAUCCGCGGGGACCAUCCCGCAAGGCUAAAUACUCCCUAGUGACCGAUAGUGAACCAGUACCGUGAGGGAAAGGUGAAAAGCACCCCGGAAGGGGAGUGAAAUAGAUCCUGAAACCGUGUGCCUACAACAAGUCAAAGCUCGUUAAUGAGUGAUGGCGUGCCUUUUGUAGAAUGAACCGGCGAGUUACGAUUGCAUGCGAGGUUAAGUCGAAGAGACGGAGCCGCAGCGAAAGCGAGUCUGAAUAGGGCGAAUGAGUAUGUAGUCGUAGACCCGAAACCAUGUGAUCUACCCAUGUCCAGGUUGAAGGUGCGGUAAAACGCACUGGAGGACCGAACCCACGUACGUUGAAAAGUGCGGGGAUGAGGUGUGGGUAGCGGAGAAAUUCCAAACGAACUUGGAGAUAGCUGGUUCUCUCCGAAAUAGCUUUAGGGCUAGCCUCGGAAUUGAGAAUGAUGGAGGUAGAGCACUGUUUGGACUAGGGGCCCAUCUCGGGUUACCGAAUUCAGAUAAACUCCGAAUGCCAUUCAUUUAUAUCCGGGAGUCAGACUGCGAGUGAUAAGAUCCGUAGUCGAAAGGGAAACAGCCCAGACCACCAGCUAAGGUCCCAAAAUAUAUGUUAAGUGGAAAAGGAUGUGGGGUUGCACAGACAACUAGGAUGUUGGCUUAGAAGCAGCCACCAUUUAAAGAGUGCGUAAUAGCUCACUAGUCGAGUGACCCUGCGCCGAAAAUGUACCGGGGCUAAACAUAUUACCGAAGCUGUGGACUACACCAUUAGGUGUAGUGGUAGGAGAGCGUUCUAAGGGCGUUGAAGGUCGAUCGUGAGGACGGCUGGAGCGCUUAGAAGUGAGAAUGCCGGUAUGAGUAGCGAAAGACAGGUGAGAAUCCUGUCCACCGUAUGACUAAGGUUUCCUGGGGAAGGCUCGUCCGCCC
This 961-nucleotide ribosomal RNA is filed under the name Escherichia coli. RNAcentral's name for it is "partial 23S ribosomal RNA". It matches the Rfam family "Bacterial large subunit ribosomal RNA", at positions 411 to 1375 of the family's 2925-position model. RNAcentral also lists the same sequence under 2 other names. The record is from RNAcentral. Lineage: Bacteria; Pseudomonadati; Pseudomonadota; Gammaproteobacteria; Enterobacterales; Enterobacteriaceae.